Molecule: long non-coding RNA, 842 nt
Filed under: Nicotiana benthamiana
Lineage: Eukaryota; Viridiplantae; Streptophyta; Magnoliopsida; Solanales; Solanaceae
Description: long non-coding RNA (NBEN_LNC019647)
Source: RNAcentral
CCACCUUGAAACCCCUCUCCUUUCUCAGAUUCUCUUGAAUCUUCCUCAACCCUAGCCACCUCUAAUCGCUCCCACCUCAAAAUCUACCAGAAACCAUGGCUUCUCCGGCCAUGAGAGCCUUAUACUCGCCUCCUGUUACUCCUAUGUGCUCGAUACUUGAAGGUUCGAGGCUAGACCUCGAAGUUCUUCAUAGUGACCUUUGCCGGCUUGAAGUUUCAUGGCCAUCGCAGCCUUGCUCCGGCAUAUUCUGGUCUUCUGAGCCUGAUUCUUGCUUCUCUGACUCCGAUUGGUGACCUUUUUAAAGGCCUUCUCAUUUUAGGAUUCUUCUUAAACCCCUCGAGGUUUUCCUUCGAUCUUUCUAGAUUUGUAGUGUAUCUAUGCUCUAUUUUGAGUUUUCAAACGCUUUUCCUGGCUUUGCUUUAAAAAAAAAAACUAACUUUCAAAAAACCGAAUCUUUUCGAUCUAGGGUUUCUGAAAUGUUCAAUUGUUUCUAUGAUUUUUUCUUUGUCUUUUAUGUGCAUUUUUCUCUAUUAUGUUCUUAUAGCAUGUUAUUAUAUACUUCUCUUGCUAUGUUUUCCUAUAUUGUGGUCUCUUAAGACUAUACUGUGCUCUUGUGUCCCCCUGUUGUGUUUUUUAUAUCAUAUUCUUCUACUAUAUUAUUGUAUUUUCUUUCUAUCAUGCUCUUAUAUGCUUUUUCGGUGUUCUUGUAUUCUUCUACUAUAUUUUUACCUAGUUCUUAAGGCUUUUUGUUUGCAUUCUACUGAAUCUUGUUUGAGUUCUUCUAAGAAGACCUCUUUAAGAAUGUUUCUUCUAUUUUAUUCUUAAGUAUUUUACUAUUUUUC